This 72-nucleotide transfer RNA is filed under the name Urocitellus parryii (Arctic ground squirrel). RNAcentral describes it as "Spermophilus parryii (Arctic ground squirrel) tRNA". It matches the Rfam family "tRNA". From Rfam's summary of the family: Transfer RNA (tRNA) molecules are approximately 80 nucleotides in length. Their secondary structure includes four short double-helical elements and three loops (D, anti-codon, and T loops). RNAcentral also lists the same sequence under 2 other names. The record is from Rfam by way of RNAcentral. Lineage: Eukaryota; Metazoa; Chordata; Mammalia; Rodentia; Sciuridae.
GGGGGUGUAGCUUGGUGGCACAGCAUAUGCUUACCAUGUAUAAGGCCCUGGGUUUGAUCCCCAGCACCAAUA